Long non-coding RNA from Neofelis nebulosa (Clouded leopard), 1971 nucleotides. RefSeq lists it as uncharacterized. The record is from RefSeq and is a predicted model, not a curated record. The transcript is spliced from 2 exons. Lineage: Eukaryota; Metazoa; Chordata; Mammalia; Carnivora; Felidae.
ACCUUGGAGCCUUCAAGUCCCAGCCUGGCAGGCAUCCAGAAGGCCCAAGUCAGCUGAAGUCACCUCCCCACCAGCAUGGCCCUGGUCACAGCUCUGGGGAAAAACUAGUCUCAAACUCCAGGGAGAACCCAGGCACAGCCUCAAUUUACUGGCCCAUAAAUCAGGUAGAAUGCUCUGGGUUUGACACCGGCUAACUCUCAUUGAUGCUUUUUUUUUUUUUUUUUUUUUUUUUAAUCGUGGCUGAAAACUUCCAGGAUGUUACAGAAAAAAGGACAGGCCACGCCUGAAAAUGUCCUGUCAGACCUAAUCAGGCCCCCUGCUACGGUUUUAGCCCUUAACUGCUGGUUUGCAAAUAGAUGGUAAAUAAGUCAGGCGGUUGGCAACUCUGUUCGGAAAUGGCGUGUAGCAGGUUAAGUCGAGGCAUAUAUUUCAAAGGGAGAAAAGGACAUUUCUCCUAUCACUGGCUCUUACCCAGCAGCCCUGGGAACCAGCCCCGCUAGCAUGUGAGUUUGGCAUUCAAACCAGGUCUGAGUCCACACUGGGAGCCUGGACACGGACUCCCUGGCCUGGUGUUCACCUGCAGCCUCAGAACCCAGGUGGAAAUUAAAUCACCUACCCGGGUGAGCAGAUCCCGCCUCGAGUCUACACCCCCUCCAAACUCAGGGAAAGGCAGAUUCCCCAUUUUCCUCUGGUCUUCUCUCCAAAGCCUCUCUAUAGACUGAAAACCCGGCCACGUAGCCCCAAGAGUUGCCUCCACCAGCCUCAGACCAGCCCUCCACCUAUACCCCAAUCCACACAUCCAGCCACUUUGGUUCGAAGCCCUGAAAGCUUCUGGAGAAGAUGCCUUCAAGCGGGGAUGGGGAGGUCUGAUCCCACAGCUCUGCACCCCUGCCCGUGGGGACCCCACGUGCCCAGCGCUGUUCGAGGAUCUCCAGCAACGGAGGCACAGAGAGGUCGAGCCAUUUGCCUGAGGUCCCACAGUGUGGCGAUCUCAGGUAGGGACUUGGACGCAGCUCACCCAGCACAUCAAAAGUAUUCAACAGACCCGGCUGCCUUUCUGCACCUUCUCACCCUCCACGAACAGAAGCUACUUGGCCCUGACACGUGCCCUCUUGUCACAUCCCACCAGCUCCUCAACUGUCAGGCCUCGGGCUCACGCCUCUAUCACCACCGCCCCAUCAACGUACCCUUUAGAGCAUCUGUGGACACCCCUUAGCCCAGGCUCUGAGGUGCCAGGAGGGCUCUCACAGGCCGACCCUGGGCCCUGGCGGCCAAGGCCGGCCCUCAGCCAGCCGGACCUCCCUCCACGGCUGCUGCACCAGCAAGGCUGACCGUGGGCUGACUCAGUCUCGUUAACCAGGCCCAGCACCCCAGAAGCCCCAACUCACCGCGUGGCCUGACCUCAAGCCACCAGCUCCUUCACAGUAGAGGCCAGAGCCUCCAGGGCCACCUGCCAACAGGGCUCAGAACCUGGCCCACCCCCCCUCUCCUCCCAGAAGGUCCUCGUUGCUUCCAGAGGCACCCCGAGGGCUCCAGGCCUGGUCUUGACUGCCUGGGGCCGGGAUCUCCACCGUGACUGCUGCCGGAGCUGGAAGGAACGCCCUUUGAACUGUCUACAUUAGGGUAUGACGUAUAAUACGUGAACGUACAGAAUGAUCAAUUUUUUAACGGGUGAGUGAUCAAAAUGUUUGGAGGCCAAAGAUUUAGGAAAGACCUAGUGCCCUGAACUGGUUUCCUGUCACCGCUGUGACAAGCUAGCACAACCUCAGUGACUUAGAAACCACAAAGAUUUAGGGGCGCCUGGGUGGCUCAGUCGGUUGGGCGUCCGACUUCAGCUCAGGUCACGAUCUCGCGGUCCGUGAGUUCGAGCCCCGCGUUGGGCUCUGGGCUGAUGGCUCAGAGCCUGGAGCCUGCUUCCGAUUCUGUGUCUCCCUCUCUCUCUGCCCCUUCCCUGUUCAUGCUGUCUCUCUC